Molecule: ribosomal RNA, 253 nt
Filed under: uncultured bacterium
Lineage: Bacteria
Description: partial 16S ribosomal RNA
Rfam family: Bacterial small subunit ribosomal RNA
Source: RNAcentral
UACGUAGGGGGCAAGCGUUAUCCGGAUUUACUGGGUGUAAAGGGAGCGCAGACGGCAGUGCAAGUCUGGAGUGAAAGCCUUCGGCUUAACCGGAGUAGUGCAUUGGAAACUGGGAGACUUGAGUGCAGAAGAGGAGAGUGGAACUCCAUGUGUAGCGGUGAAAUGCGUAGAUAUAUGGAAGAACACCAGUGGCGAAAGCGGCUCUCUGGUCUGUAACUGACGCUGAGGUUCGAAAGCGUGGGUAGCAAACAGG